This 244-nucleotide long non-coding RNA is filed under the name Manihot esculenta (cassava). RNAcentral describes it as "long non-coding RNA (MESC_LNC002599)". The record is from RNAcentral. Lineage: Eukaryota; Viridiplantae; Streptophyta; Magnoliopsida; Malpighiales; Euphorbiaceae.
UUCAGGUCUAGGUUGAUGGUCAUCAUUCCAGGUCUAAAGUCAAAAUUCUCUUUCACAAUCUUGAGAAUCUCCUUGUCAGGAAUCUUUCCUGUUCCAUAGGUGUCCACAAAGACAGACAAAGGCUCAGGAACACCAAUGGCAUAGGAAACCUGCACGAUACACCGGCGAGCAAGACCAUUUGCUACAAUACUCUUGGCUGCCUGCCUAACAAUAUAAGCACCGCUCCUGUCCACCUUGGUUGGGU